This 386-nucleotide ribosomal RNA is filed under the name uncultured bacterium. Its description in RNAcentral is "bacterial SSU rRNA". It matches the Rfam family "Bacterial small subunit ribosomal RNA", at positions 30 to 416 of the family's 1533-position model. The record is from RNAcentral.
AUUGAACGCUGGCGGCAUGCCUUACACAUGCAAGUCGAACGGCAGCACGGGAGCAAUCCUGGUGGCGAGUGGCGAACGGGUGAGUAAUAUAUCGGAACGUGCCCAGUCGUGGGGAUAACGUAGCGAAAGCUACGCUAAUACCGCAUACGAUCUAUGGAUGAAAGCGGGGGAUCGCAAGACCUCGCGCGAUUGGAGCGGCCGAUAUCAGAUUAGGUAGUUGGUGAGGUAAAGGCUCGCCAAGCCGACGAUCUGUAGCUGGUCUGAGAGGACGACCAGCCACACUGGGACUGAGACACGGCCCAGACUCCUACGGAGGCAGCAGUGGGGAAUUUUUGGGACAAUGGGCGCAAGCCUGAUCCAGCAAUGCCGCGUGCAGGAUGAAGGCC